This 373-nucleotide ribosomal RNA is filed under the name uncultured bacterium. RNAcentral describes it as "bacterial SSU rRNA". It matches the Rfam family "Bacterial small subunit ribosomal RNA", at positions 28 to 402 of the family's 1533-position model. The record is from RNAcentral.
GACGAACGCUGGCGGCGUGCUUAACACAUGCAAGUCGAACGCUGAACCACUUUCGGGUGGGGAUGAGUGGCGAACGGGUGAGUAACACGUGGGUAAUCUGCCCUGCACUCUGGGAUAAGCCUUGGAAACGAGGUCUAAUACCGGAUAUCACAAUCUCUCGCAGUGGGGGGGUUGUUGAAAGUUCUGGCGGUGCAGGAUGAACCCGCGGCCUAUCAGCUUGUUGGUGAGGAAUGGCUCACCAAGGCUUCGACGGGUAGCCGGCCUGAGAGGGCGACCGGCCACACUGGGACUGAGAUACGGCCCAGACUCCUACGGGAGGCAGCAGUGGGGAAUAUUGCACAAUGGGCGCAAGCCUGAUGCAGCAACGCCGCGU